AGUGAACGCUGGCGGUAGGCCUAACACAUGCAAGUCGAACGGCAGCACAGUAAGAGCUUGCUCUUACGGGUGGCGAGUGGCGGACGGGUGAGGAAUACAUCGGAAUCUACUUUUUCGUGGGGGAUAACGUAGGGAAACUUACGCUAAUACCGCAUACGACCUACGGGUGAAAGCAGGGGAUCUUCGGACCUUGCGCGAUUGAAUGAGCCGAUGUCGGAUUAGCUAGUUGGCGGGGUAAAGGCCCACCAAGGCGCCGAUCCGUAGCUGGUCUGAGAGGAGGAUCAGCCACACGGGAGCUGAGACACGGUCCAGACUCCUACGGGAGGCAGCAGUGGGGAAUAUUGGACAAUGGGUGCAAGCCUGAUCCAGCCAUACCGCGUGGGUGAAGAAGGCCUUCGGGUUGUAAAGCCCUUUUGUUGGGAAAGAAAAGCAGCAGGUUAAUACCCCGCUGUUCUGACGGUACCCAAAGAAUAAGCACCGGCUAACUUCGUG
This 492-nucleotide ribosomal RNA is filed under the name uncultured bacterium. RNAcentral's name for it is "partial 16S ribosomal RNA". It matches the Rfam family "Bacterial small subunit ribosomal RNA", at positions 29 to 507 of the family's 1533-position model. The record is from RNAcentral.